GUAGGUGGCAAGCGUUGUCCGGAAUUAUUGGGCGUGAAGCGCGCGCAGGCGGUUCUUUAAGUCUGAUGUGAAAGCCCACGGCUCAACCGUGGAGGGUCAUUGGAAACUGGAGAACUUGAGUACAGAAGAGGAAAGCGGAAUUCCACGUGUAGCGGUGAAAUGCGUAGAGAUGUGGAGGAACACCAGUGGCGAAGGCGGCUUUCUGGUCUGUAACUGACGCUGAGGCGCGAAAGCGUGGGGGGAGCAAACAGGAUUAGAUACCCUGGUAGUCCACGCCGUAAACGAUGAGUGCUAAGUGUUAGGGGGUUUCCGCCCCCCCCUUAGUGCUGCAGCUAACGCAUUAAGCACUCCGCCUGGGAGUACGGCCGCAAGGCUG
RNAcentral lists this ribosomal RNA (376 nucleotides) under uncultured organism. RNAcentral's name for it is "partial 16S ribosomal RNA". It matches the Rfam family "Bacterial small subunit ribosomal RNA", at positions 527 to 896 of the family's 1533-position model. The record is from RNAcentral.